ACGGAGGAUGCGAGCGUUAUCCGGAUUUAUUGGGUUUAAAGGGAGCGCAGACGGGAUGUUAAGUCAGCUGUGAAAGUUUGCGGCUCAACCGUAAAAUUGCAGUUGAUACUGGCGUCCUUGAGUGCGGUUGAGGUGUGCGGAAUUCGUGGUGUAGCGGUGAAAUGCUUAGAUAUCACGAAGAACCCCGAUUGCGAAGGCAGCACACUAAGCCGUAACUGACGUUCAUGCUCGAAAGUGUGGGUAUCAAACAGG
This 252-nucleotide ribosomal RNA is filed under the name uncultured bacterium. RNAcentral's name for it is "partial 16S ribosomal RNA". It matches the Rfam family "Bacterial small subunit ribosomal RNA", at positions 525 to 776 of the family's 1533-position model. The record is from RNAcentral.